GCUGGUGUAGCUCAACCGGUAGAGCGACUGAUUUGUAAUCAGUCGGUUGGGGGUUCAAGUCCCUUCACCAGCUC
Molecule: transfer RNA, 74 nt
Filed under: Chromerida sp. RM11
Lineage: Eukaryota
Description: tRNA-Thr
Rfam family: tRNA
About the family: Transfer RNA (tRNA) molecules are approximately 80 nucleotides in length. Their secondary structure includes four short double-helical elements and three loops (D, anti-codon, and T loops).
Source: RNAcentral